Molecule: long non-coding RNA, 427 nt
Organism: Drosophila biarmipes
Lineage: Eukaryota; Metazoa; Arthropoda; Insecta; Diptera; Drosophilidae
Exons: 2
Source: RefSeq, a predicted model, not a curated record
CCCAUCAGUUUUUCUUUCGAUUUUCAUUCACUUUGAAGUCUGCCACUGUCUUUCCAGUUUCUGCCGGCCAAAUUUCAUUAGACGUACUCUGCAUGAGGGGUGUGGACCUUGAUUCAAGCAGAGUCAGGGAACUUAACUGGUCCUAGAUUGCAUAACUGAAUAAGGCCAGAAAGUGUUUUUAAUAGAGAUGAAAUACACUUUUGCACUGAGAUGUUAAUUUUUUAUAUGCUUGUUCUCGUUUGCCUUCCAUCAAAUUUGCGUACUCGGUUUACUCUACCCCGGUUAUCAUUCUGUUCUCUAUGUGCGAGCAUCUUUUCAGGUCCUUUUUAGCACUUUGUGCACUGGCACUUGGGCAAAACGACGACGGCAAGUGUCCUUAAAAUAGUCAUCAAAUAACAAGCACACAGCCACAAUGGCAAAAGCAGAA